Long non-coding RNA from Pantherophis guttatus, 1689 nucleotides. RefSeq lists it as uncharacterized. The record is from RefSeq and is a predicted model, not a curated record. Lineage: Eukaryota; Metazoa; Chordata; Lepidosauria; Squamata; Colubridae.
UGUUACCAGCCGCCCGCUUCGAGCUAAAACGGGUCCGUAUUUAAAACAUCAGCAGGCAAGAAAGCACCAACAAUGCUCUACUACAGCUUUCUAUCCCAGUGCCCACUCAAUUAGCUGACCCGCUACCGGAAACCUAUGUACAGCUUCUCCGGAUACGAGCUGCGUCACAGAGCGUGAUGCCGCAAUUCAGUGCAUGUGAACGUCAUGGGAACGUGACAGAUGGUGCGUUAGAAAGAUGUUAUUCCCAAUUCUGGUCUGAGCCUGGUGUUGAGAUUUUGAAAAGAGUGCAAAGAAGAGCAACAUGAAUGAUUAGGAGGUUAAAGGCUAAAAUAUAUGAAGAACAGUUACAGAAAUUGGGUGUGUGUAUUCUAAUGAAAAGAAGGACUAAGGGAGACAUGAUACCAGUGUUCCAAUAUUUGAGGGGUUCCUACAAAGACAAUGGGGUCAGACUAUUUUCCAAAGCAUCAGAAGGCAAGACAAGAAACAAUGGAUGGAAACUAACCAAGGACCGAAGCAACCUGGAACUAAGGAGAAAUUUCUUAACGGUGUUUUUUUAUCCAGAUUUUUCCUCCAGAUGUGAACAUAAAGUUUAUACAAAAUGAAGCAGAUGUAAAGACUAUUCAGAAGAGAGAUUGAGCCACUGGUUUAGCCCUGAGAAGAAGGAAGCAAGCAGCAAUUACCAUUGCCCACCGGUGGACCUACAGGGAGUCGAGGGACUGGAUUUUAUAUUCCUAACACGAUCCACACUGAGGACCGAGACAACAACUGUUGUAGCAUUUGUUUCUCCCUUCAGCCUACUACAGCUUCUGGCAGGUCACAUCUGUCCCACAGGUCUUCUAUUCACUGUAGUUGUACCAGUACACAUUGAAGUACUGAAGUACAUGUUAAAGUGUGUCUUAUUUCUGCAACCAGUCUUAGGGGAAACAGGGAGCAUUAAACAUUGCCAAUCUCCAUUUUUAUGGAGAUUGUUAUUUCCAUCAGCCUCCACAUAUUAACCAUAUUAACCACCAAAUGGUACAGAGCUACAAUGGAUGCCAUCUUGAACUUCCUGAGGACAAGGAGAAAGCCAACAAAAUGUUGCCUGUUUGUUGACAACCAAGUGUGAUGAGAGGUUGUCAAAAAUUGCAGGAAACUAAGAGUCAUUCUGCCCAUCAUAGUUUUCUGACAAUUUUAUUUAUAUCGUAUAGCGUAGCAAAAUGCAGCACAAUGCAUAAAAUUCACAGAAAACAGCAUAUAAAAUGUAUGGCAAAAUAUAAUGUAUGGCAAAAUAUAAAACAUCAGAGCAGUGAAUUGUUUUAAAAACAUACAACACAAGUUAUGAAUAAAAUUAAAUUAUGCAGGAGAAGUUACUGUCAAGUAGGAAACUUUGGUAGCUACGUGCCUCUUCUUUUCAACUUGCCAUUAGAGUAAGGAGGGGGAGGCAUUUUAGAAUGAGUUAGAUGGAGAAACGAAACCUCAACAAUCCCGCUGAAGAUUGUGAGAGCCUGAAACAGUUUCAAGGACAUCAGCAGAUGUGGAGUUGAAGCAGACAUAAGAAAGUGAAUUUGUUUACUUGGACUACAUGAGAGGUGGGGGGUUUAGCUGGGGAAAUUAUUGUUUAACGCUGAACUGGUGUCUGGGAAUCUCAGAGUUAGUUUUGCUUUGACAUUACCAUGCAGUGUAUUCAAUAAACAGUCAGAUUUUCGGAAA